RNA transcript from Numida meleagris (helmeted guineafowl), 5112 nucleotides. It is a transcript of the gene named leucine rich melanocyte differentiation associated, with no coding region annotated. The transcript is spliced from 7 exons. Lineage: Eukaryota; Metazoa; Chordata; Aves; Galliformes; Numididae. The record is from RefSeq and is a predicted model, not a curated record.
CGCGGCCCGGCCGCGCUUCCGCCCGUGUCAGCUGACUGCCGCGAGGAAGCGGCGGCGCGAGCCCCGGCCCAGCCCCGAGUCGCUGCCGCCUGCGGAGUACCGUCCCGGCCCCCUCCACCAUGGCAGGGCUGGUGGUGAGCGGAGCCCAAGUGUCCUACAUUAGUCAAGACUGUGAAGAAAUUCCUGAAUUCCUGGGAAGAAAAUAUGGACAUAUGGCAAAAAGACUAGAUCUUAGCUUCAACUUGUUAAGGUCACUGGAAGGACUGAAAACAUUCAGUUACUUGGAAGAGCUGAUCUUGGACAACAAUCUACUCGGAAAUGACCUUCUGCUACCCAGGUUACCCCACCUCCACACCUUAACACUCAACAAGAACCAAAUAACAGAAUUAGAAAGCCUUUUGGAUCAUUUGGCUGAAGUUGUGCCCUCGCUACAGUAUCUCAGUUUGCUUGGAAAUGUGGCCUGCCCAAAUGAACUGGUCUGCAAAGAAAAGGAUGAAGAUGACUACCAGAGGUACAGGUUAGUGUCUUCAAUUGUAAAUAUAAGGUAUUUUGUUCUGCAUAAAUUGAAAAACCUGAAAUUUCUCGAUACUCGGCAAGUAACGAGGAAAGAGAGAGAGGAAGCUCUGGUUAGAGGUGCCUUCAUGAAAGUGGUUAAACCCAAGGAUGCUAAGUUUUAGUGGUGAGGUCUGGAAAAUGAGAGUUCUUCUUUAAAGAAGUUUUCCUGGAAUCAUGAAUGAAAUUGUUCUCCUGAUAGGUGUAUGGGAUGCCUUCUAAAGCAGGCAGAGCACAUGACACUUUUCAACACUCUUUUCGAUACUGAUUUGGCAUUCAGGGUCUAUCAAAGGAGAAAUCUUUCACAUGCAAUUAUGACAGAAAAUAAAGGUGAUGAAGUGUUGUAUACAAAGAAUGGAGAGAGAUCAAAGGACUGUAAUGAAAACUGAUUACAAUAAAAGAGCUGCUUCAACCCUGAGAACUCUUCAGAACUGCUUGGGGCAUGACAACACGCACACUUGCAUGCACAAAGGAGAAGUUGCAGAUAAAAUCACAGGCACUAAUUCAUAGGAAUAAAUGAAGAAAGCAAUACAUGGCUACUUGCUUGAAUGUUUUAUAACAUAUUAAGAGACUAAAAUGACAUGAAGACACUGGUCUAAUUUGGAAAAUUCCAAUUUCAUACUUUUGUAAAGGCUUCUUUAUUGAAGUAUGGACAUAAUGUGAAAGUUUUUUAAAUUUAUAACUUCUGAUAAGAUUGCUCAUAGGAUAGAGGAAUGUUUUCAAUUCUUCUAUUGUUUUCUUGAUUAAUCUCCUGGAGGUCACACACAGAAUAAGUCACUUAUCUAAGUUUAAAUAUUAGCAAGGAGACUGUUCAGUACUGUUAGUUGCAUAGUGCUGGAGAAAUUAAUCAAGUUUAACCCUCUAUCCUUUUGAUUCCUGUUCUGGUUUAGACUACUCAAAUGAAUUUUCAUUGACUUCGAAGUGUGUUUCCUGAAUUCCUAAAUUGAGUACUGCAGCCAUUCAUUGGGCAGUUUCAGCCGGCAAUUUUAUAUCUUCUCAAGCUUAGGGCUGUAGUUUAUGCUAAGCUCCUUUCACAUGGUUCAAAGUUUUGUACAAUUGAGGAGUUCUUUUUUUAAUAUAUGUAUUCUUUAAUAAUUUGCCAAUACAUUUAUAUUGAAACAACUAUCAUUUUGCACAAGGUAAGGAAUUGACACUCUUUACAACUGUGUGGUAGAAUUAUGCUCUGCCAAGAUUUCUCAUAAAUCAUGAGCUUAGCUUCAAAGCCAGAAGGAAGAAGCAUUUUCUGAAGAUUCUGCGGAGCUUACUUUUUUUUCCCCAAUAAUAUUAUAUUCUGAAUGAGUAAUUUUAUUUUCAGCUUCAAACCAGAAAGUUUUACCUGAAGCAACACUGACUCAAAACACUUAGUUUUGCUAAAUGAUUUAGCUCCUUGUUUUGUGUGAAACAAAUACACUUCAGUAUUUGAAAACUCAACUACAAAACUAGAAACACUGAUUAAAUUUUAACUGAAGCCAGAAAAGCAACUUCCCACUCCUAAUAUCUUCAAGAGGUCUGUCUUAUCUUCUCAGAAUUAUAUUAAUUAAUUAAAGGGAAACAUAACUCCCAUUUUUAAGAAAUGGAGAAGAACCUGGGCAAUUACAGCCCUCAGAGCCUCACUUCUGUUUGGAGAACAUGGAGCAGAUUCUCCUGGAAGUUAUCCUAAAGCACAUGCGAGACAAGGAGGUGAUCUGAGACAGCCAGCAUGGCUUCACCAAGGGCAAGUCAUGCCUCAGCAAUCUGGUGGCCUUCUAUUAUGGGGUGAUGAUAUUGAUGGACAAAGGAAAUGCAACUGAUGUUGUAUACCCACACUUGUUCAAGGCCUAUGACACAGUCCUGCAGCACAUCCUUAUCUCUAAAUUGGAGAGAGACAGAUUUGAAAGGUGGACUAUUUGGUAGAUAAAGGGGGAUUGAUACUCUUUAACAUCUCUAUCAAUGACAUAGACAAGUACAAGGUGUUGCAUUUGGGUUGGGGCAAUCUUAGACGUGAGUACAGACGGGGAGAAAGACUGAAGGAGAGCAGCCCUGCAGAGAAGGGAAUUCUCGUGAUUGAAAAUCUUAACAUGAACCAACAUUGUGUGCCUGCAGCCCAGAAGACCAGCUGUAUACUGAGCUUCUUCAAAGGAGGGUGGCCAGCUGGAACAGGAAGAUGAUCAUCCCUGUCUACUUUUCACUUGUAAGGCCCCAUCUGGAGUACUGUGUCCACCCUGGCACAAGAAAGAUGUGCAACUGUUGUAGUAGGUCCAGAGGAAGCCAUGAAGAUGAUCAGAGGGCUGGAGCACCUCUCUUGUGAAGAAAGGCUGAGGGAGCUGGGCUUGUUCAGCUUGGAGAAGUCUCUGGUGAGACCUCAUGCAGCCUUCCAGUAUUUGAAAGGAGCUUAUAAACAGGAAGGAGACCAACUUUUUGCAUGGGCAGGUAGUGACAGGACAGGGGGAGAUGUUUUAAAACUAAAAGAGGGAGAUUUAGGUUAGAUGUUAGAUGGAAAUUCUUUUAUCAGAGGUUGGUGAGACACUGGAACAGGUUGCCCAGAGAAGUUGUGGAUGCUCCAUUCCUGGAGAUGUUCAAGGACAAGUUGGGUGGGGCCCUGGGCAGCCUGAUCUGGUGUUUGGCAGUCCUGCCCAUGGUAGGGGGUUUAGAGCUUGAUCUUUAAGGUCUCUUCAACCCAAGCUGUUCUAUGAUUUAACUCCAAUUGUACUACGAUUUGUUGCUUUCACUCUAAAGCACCGAUUCUUUCUUUGUAUCACUGUUAAAAUUAGGAAAACCUCUCUAGAGAGGUCAGUGCUCAGGUUACCACUGGUAGUAAGAGUGUCUUUAAAAGUGAUGGCAAGAAAAAAAAGAUGACUUUAUCUAUAUUGUCUGCUUGCCUAACUUUCCCUAAGGAUGAUUAUGCCACUGUAUACUAUCAGCCCAUAUAUCAGUGGCUAUAGAGAAUGUCUAGGUCUUUAGCAUUAGGCAUUUUAUGUUCAUAUGUUGAAGGGUUGGACUUGAUGUUCUCAAGAGGUUCCUUCCUACUUCUACAAUUCUGUGAUUCUGUUUUUCACUCUGCUUUCAAUACCAUUUAGACUCAUGUUCUUAACUUCAAAUAAGGAAAACACACAAUUAGGUAAUGGCCUGGGCUGAGUGAGAAGAGUUUUAAGGCAUUUGAUUUGAUGCAAUGACCACUCUUUUAAAGACAGUUAUUUAAAAUCACUGAAACCAUAGCAACAACUUGUGUUCUAGAGAAAAAGGGCACAGCAGGCCAGCAUUAGCUUAAUUUUUGUUGCCCUUUUCAUGACCAUGAUAUUAAUAUUUUAGACGGAGUGUCAUUUGCUUAUUGAGCGAUUUACAGUACCGACUGUCACAAAGUGGAGCUAGUAGAGAUUUAAACAAAUUUACCUCUGCGAGAUUAACUAGUUGAGCUUUGACUUAACCUUCUGAGAAUCAACUUCUUUUGUAUCUCAUUAGCACUUUUUUAUUUGUAUAACCUUUAUCUGCAAAUGUAGGUGUUACAGAGCUUUCAGGAUGAAAUGAAUUGGAACAGAUUUCAAAGUGUUGAAUGCUGUUAGAAAACAGUGUAAAGCAUGUAAACAAAAGUACACUGGAAUAACCUGGGUUGUAUGUAUAUUUCUCUGUUUAUGCUGCAUAAAUUAUUCCUGAAAUUGUCCAGUACUGUUGAUCUGAAGGAGUCCUUUUAUCACCUGUAUGUGCAAUGAAAGCUUUGGAAACUGAUCAAUAUAAUUCACAAGGUGUGUAGAUCUUGCAGUUAGGAAUCUGCUUCUACAGCUUAAAACACUUGAGCUUACAUUGCUAGCAAAAGUGGGCACUCAAAGUACUGAGUCUUUCCUCUAUCUUUAAAAUAUGUAUUUUUAAGUUAUGAAAAAAGAAUGCUAAGUACUAUCUAAGGUUCUUCUUGAAAAGGGAAUCUAUUGAUGUUUUUUAUAACUAUAUGUAUUGAAUCAAGACAGAAAAAAAAUUGAAAACUAGUUAUGGUGUUUGACCAUCUUGAAUGUUCCUGACAAGUUAUAGGACUUGAACUAAAAUAUAAUUUCCAUAAUAAUUAAAAUAGAGCAAUAAUUAAUUAUCGGAUCUCCGUCCACUGAAAAAAUAUCUCUUUGAAUUUCUUAUAUUAUGUAGUGCUCAUUUCAAAAUUAGUGAGUUGUCCGCUCAAGUGUCAAAAUAAGCCUGUACAGAUAUAUUCCAAAAUGAACAGCUUACAACUUAAUAUACAUUGUUCAAUCUUUAUAUAUAUUGUUCAGCAGCUUCAAAAAUCUCUUUAUGUGCAAAAUAAAAUGUGCUCAGAAAGUAGUGUAAUUAUAACAUGAAUGUUAUGUAUUAAGUUUCUUUUAUAUUAGUGACUUGAGAAUAAUAAUAUAGACAGAUUAUUUUAAAAAGGUGAUUUGUAAAAUUAGUGUUAAUGAUUUUUGACAGUGGGUGAAAGAUGAAGUGAUUCUGAGCCUAUUUUAACAGCAAGAUUCUCCUGUGAAGUUUAGAGCUGCUAAAGCAUGUUUUAAAUUAUGAGGGAUGCUCUGAAAGUAAUGCCUCCUAUUUUAUUAUAUUAGCCCACCACAUCAGAGGCAGAUGUUGAUU